AGAGUUUGAUCCUGGCUCAGGAUGAACGCUAGCGGCAGGCUUAACACAUGCAAGUCGAGGGGCAGCAUGGGUGUUAGCAAUAACACCUGAUGGCGACCGGCGCAAGGGUGCGUAACGCGUGAGCAACUUGCCCGUUUCAGGGGGAUAACCGGUGGAAACGCCGACUAAUACCCCAUGGCAUCAUUUAAAGGCAUCUUUUUAUGAUUAAAGAAUUUCGGAAACGGAUAGGCUCGCGUGACAUUAGCUAGACGGCGGGGUAACGGCCCACCGUGGCGACGAUGUCUAGGGGUUCUGAGAGGAAGGUCCCCCACACUGGAACUGAGACACGGUCCAGACUCCUACGGGAGGCAGCAGUGAGGAAUAUUGGUCAAUGGUCAGACGACUGAACCAGCCAUGCCGCGUGAAGGAGACGGCCCUAUGGGUCUUAAACUUCUUUUGCGAGGGAGCAAUAAGGUCUACGUGUAGUCCGAUGAGAGUACCUCGCGAAUAAGCAUCGGCUAACUCCGUGCCAGCAGCCGCGGUAAUACGGGGGAUGCGAGCGUUAUCCGGAUUUAUUGGGUUUAAAGGGUGCGUAGGCGGCUUUUCAAGUCAGCGGUGAAAUUUAGGGGCUCAACCUCUACCGUGCCGUUGAUACUGGGAGGCUUGAAUGCGGAUGCCGUGGGAGGAAUGUGUGGUGUAGCGGUGAAAUGCGUAGAUAUUAGGAGGAACACCAGUGGCGAAGGCGGCUUACUGGACUGUAACUGACGUUGAGGCUCGAAAGCGUGGGGAGCAAACAGGAUUAGAUACCCUGGUAGUCCACGCCGUAAACGAUGAUUACUAGGUGUUGGGUAGUUAGACUAUUCGGUGCCGCAGCAAACGCCAUAAGUAAUCCACCUGGGGAGUACGACCGCAAGGUUGAAACUCAAAGGAAUUGACGGGGGCCCGCACAAGCAGUGGAGUAUGUGGUUUAAUUCGAAGCAACGCGAAGAACCUUACCAGGACUUGACAUCCCUCUGACCGCCUUAGAGAUAGGGCUUUCCUUCGGGACAGGGGUGACAGGUGGUGCAUGGUUGUCGUCAGCUCGUGUCGUGAGAUGUUGGGUUAAGUCCCGCAACGAGCGCAACCCCUAUUGCCGGUUGCCAUCAUUAAGUUGGGCACUCCGGCGAGACUGCCGGCGACAAGUCGGAGGAAGGUGGGGAUGACGUCAAAUCAUCAUGCCCCUUAUGUCCUGGGCUACACACGUACUACAAUGGCCGUAACAACGAGGAGCAAAAUCGCGAGAUGGAGCAAAUCUCCAAAUACGGUCCCAGUUCAGAUUGCAGGCUGCAACUCGCCUGCAUGAAGUCGGAAUUGCUAGUAAUCGCGGAUCAGCAUGCCGCGGUGAAUAC
RNAcentral lists this ribosomal RNA (1367 nucleotides) under uncultured bacterium. RNAcentral's name for it is "partial 16S ribosomal RNA". It matches the Rfam family "Bacterial small subunit ribosomal RNA", at positions 8 to 1369 of the family's 1533-position model. The record is from RNAcentral.